This 164-nucleotide small nuclear RNA is filed under the name Castor canadensis (American beaver). Its description in RNAcentral is "U1 spliceosomal RNA (ENSCCNG00000021436.1)". It matches the Rfam family "U1 spliceosomal RNA". From Rfam's summary of the family: U1 is a small nuclear RNA (snRNA) component of the spliceosome (involved in pre-mRNA splicing). Its 5' end forms complementary base pairs with the 5' splice junction, thus defining the 5' donor site of an intron. Lineage: Eukaryota; Metazoa; Chordata; Mammalia; Rodentia; Castoridae. The record is from Rfam by way of RNAcentral.
AUACUUACCUGGCAAGGAAGAUACCAUGAUCACAAAGGUGGUUUUCCCAGGGAGAGGCUUAUCCAUUGCACUCUGGAUGUGCUGACCCCUGUGAUUUCCACAAAUGUGGGAAACUCAACUGCAUAAUUUGUGGUAGUGGGGGACUGCAUUCACGCUCUCCCGUU